Molecule: ribosomal RNA, 490 nt
Filed under: uncultured bacterium
Lineage: Bacteria
Description: partial 16S ribosomal RNA
Rfam family: Bacterial small subunit ribosomal RNA
Source: RNAcentral
AUUGAACGCUGGCGGCAGGCCUAACACAUGCAAGUCGAACGGUAACAGGAAGAAGCUUGCUUCUUUGCUGACGAGUGGCGGACGGGUGAGUAAUGUCUGGGAAACUGCCUGAUGGAGGGGGAUAACUACUGGAAACGGUAGCUAAUACCGCAUAACGUCGCAAGACCAAAGAGGGGGACCUUCGGGCCUCUUGCCAUCGGAUGUGCCCAGAUGGGAUUAGCUAGUAGGGGGGGUAACGGCUCACCUAGGCGACGAACCCUAGCUGGUCUGAGAGGAUGACCAGCCACACUGGAACUGAGACACGGUCCAGACUCCUACGGGAGGCAGCAGUGGGGAAUAUUGCACAAUGGGCGCAAGCCUGAUGCAGCCAUGCCGCGUGUAUGAAGAAGGCCUUCGGGUUGUAAAGUACUUUCAGCGGGGAGGAAGGGAGUGAAGUUAAUACCUUUGCUCAUUGACGUUACCCGCAGAAGAAGCACCGGCUAACUCCGUG